This 497-nucleotide ribosomal RNA is filed under the name uncultured bacterium. RNAcentral describes it as "partial 16S ribosomal RNA". It matches the Rfam family "Bacterial small subunit ribosomal RNA", at positions 28 to 507 of the family's 1533-position model. The record is from RNAcentral.
GAUGAACGCUGGCGGCGUGCCUAAUACAUGCAAGUCGAGCGAACGGACGAGAAGCUUGCUUCUCUGAUGUUAGCGGCGGACGGGUGAGUAACACGUGGAUAACCUACCUAUAAGACUGGGAUAACUUCGGGAAACCGGAGCUAAUACCGGAUAAUAUUUUGAACCGCAUGGUUCAAAAGUGAAAGACGGUCUUGCUGUCACUUAUAGAUGGAUCCGCUCUGCAUUAGCUAGUUGGUAAGGUAACGGCUUACCAAGGCAACGAUGCAUAGCCGACCUGAGAGGGUGUUCGCCCACACGGGAACUGAGACACGGUCCAGACUCCUACGGGAGGCAGCAGUAGGGAAUCUUCCGCAAUGGGCGAAAGCCUGACGGAGCAACGCCGCGUGAGUGAUGAAGGUCUUCGGAUCUUAAAACUCUGUUAUUAGGGAAGAACAUAUGUGUAAGUAAAUGUGCACAUAUUGACGGUACCUAAUCAGAAAGCCACGGCUAACUACGUG